UGGUGGGUAGUUUGACUGGGGCGGUCUCCUCCUAAAGAGUAACGGAGGAGCACGAAGGUUGGCUAAUCCUGGUCGGACAUCAGGAGGUUAGUGCAAUGGCAUAAGCCAGCUUGACUGCGAGCGUGACGGCGCGAGCAGGUGCGAAAGCAGGUCAUAGUGAUCCGGUGGUUCUGAAUGGAAGGGCCAUCGCUCAACGGAUAAAAGGUACUCCGGGGAUAACAGGCUGAUACCGCCCAAGAGUUCAUAUCGACGGCGGUGUUUGGCACCUCGAUGUCGGCUCAUCACAUCCUGGGGCUGAAGUAGGUCCCAAGGGUAUGGCUGUUCGCCAUUUAAAGUGGUACGCGAGCUGGGUUUAGAACGUCGUGAGACAGUUCGGUCCCUAUCUGCCGU
Molecule: ribosomal RNA, 390 nt
Filed under: Escherichia coli
Lineage: Bacteria; Pseudomonadati; Pseudomonadota; Gammaproteobacteria; Enterobacterales; Enterobacteriaceae
Also listed under: 2 other names
Description: partial 23S ribosomal RNA
Rfam family: Bacterial large subunit ribosomal RNA
Source: RNAcentral